This is a non-coding RNA of Aedes albopictus (Asian tiger mosquito), 74 nucleotides long. The record is from Rfam. NCBI's taxonomy places the organism in Eukaryota, Metazoa, Arthropoda, Insecta, Diptera, Culicidae.
UGUUCUGUGGCUUAGUUGGUUAAAGCACCGGCCGAGCGAAUACGGAGUCGUGGGUUCGAAUCCCACAAGAACGC